GGGUUGUGAGGUUAAGCGACUAAGCGUACACGGUGGAUGCCCUGGCAGUCAGAGGCGAUGAAGGACGUGCUAAUCUGCGAAAAGCGUCGGUAAGGUGAUAUGAACCGUUAUAACCGGCGAUGUCCGAAUGGGGA
RNAcentral lists this ribosomal RNA (134 nucleotides) under Acinetobacter baumannii. Its description in RNAcentral is "partial 23S ribosomal RNA". It matches the Rfam family "Bacterial large subunit ribosomal RNA", at positions 1 to 124 of the family's 2925-position model. RNAcentral also lists the same sequence under 1 other name. The record is from RNAcentral. Lineage: Bacteria; Pseudomonadati; Pseudomonadota; Gammaproteobacteria; Moraxellales; Moraxellaceae.